This 311-nucleotide long non-coding RNA is filed under the name Elaeis guineensis (African oil palm). RNAcentral's name for it is "long non-coding RNA (EGUI_LNC004630)". Lineage: Eukaryota; Viridiplantae; Streptophyta; Magnoliopsida; Arecales; Arecaceae. The record is from RNAcentral.
UACAUAACUUGCAUAUAUCUUUGAUUAACUUACAAGCUGUUGCCUAAGCAGUUUAGUCAAAAAAAAAGUUAUAAAAGGUAAGAGGGGCUCUCCGAAACAAUCAUCGUAGCCAUUAAAAUAAUAGAAGCUCUUAUAAGGAUCAUUCUGGGACUUUGGAUCAUAUUUUGGAAGAUGUAAUUAUUCUUGGCCAUCCAAAUAUUAUAUACAAAAUAAGCCAUUAGAACUACCGCCAUACUCUGGUCAAUCCUACCAAAUUUUUGUGGAAUAGAUUGGAAGAAACUUCAAUAGAAAGAGUAGGAAUGAUCCUAGCA